This 455-nucleotide ribosomal RNA is filed under the name uncultured bacterium. RNAcentral's name for it is "bacterial SSU rRNA". It matches the Rfam family "Bacterial small subunit ribosomal RNA", at positions 340 to 786 of the family's 1533-position model. The record is from RNAcentral.
UACGGAAGGCAGCAGUGGGGAAUAUUGCACAAUGGGCGCAAGCCUGAUGCAGCCAUGCCGCGUGUAUGAAGAAGGCCUUCGGGUUGUAAAGUACUUUCAGUCGUGAGGAAGGUGUUAAGGCUAAUAACCUUAGCAAUUGACGUUAGCGACAGAAGAAGCACCGGCUAACUCCGUGCCAGCAGCCGCGGUAAUACGGAGGGUGCGAGCGUUAAUCGGAAUUACUGGGCGUAAAGGGCACGCAGGCGGUUAAUUAAGUUGGAUGUGAAAUCCCCGGGCUUAACCUGGGAAUGGCAUUCAAGACUGGUUAGCUAGAGUCUUGUAGAGGGGGUUAGAAUUCCAUGUGUAGCGGUGAAAUGCGUAGAGAUGUGGAGGAAUACCGGUGGCGAAGGCGGCCCCUGGGACAAAGACUGACGCUCAUGUGCGAAAGCGUGGGGAGCAAACAGGGAUUAGAUACC